CUCCCAGUCAAGCCCUGCCCUCCUGACCUUGUCCUGCCCUGGUGCUGCCAGUCGGGUGGAGAUGUCUAGGGGCCAGCUGGUCUCCUGGCAACUGAAGUCCGCGCUUCCCUUCCGUUCACUCAUUCCUUCCUUUCCUCAUGCAGGAGGCGCUGCAAGGCUCCGUGCUCCUGGAGCUUCGAGUCUAUGGUAUGAGUUAAACAGAAGGGUAUCUCCUCCAUCAGAUCUACAGGAGGGUGUCUGCUCCAUCAGACCUGGAGCUUCCAAGGCAUUUUACCCGAAGCUCCAGCACCUGGCCCAAGGCUGGGCUGUGCUGUGUCCUCAGUGAAAGAAUGGAUGAGUCACAGCUGAAUGACUGAAGAGCUGAACCAAUGGGAAAACUGAUGCUCAGAGGCUUGAGCAACCUAGGCCAGGACCUGUCCUUAGAGGCAGAAGCAGGACUCAGAGGAAGAGCACCCUGACCACAAAGCCCCAGGUGACUUACACUGCAGGGAUGGCGCUCUCCGGGGUGUGCAGGGUGGCAGAGGUGCCUCUGCAGAGAGAUCCC
This 544-nucleotide long non-coding RNA is filed under the name Homo sapiens (human). Its description in RNAcentral is "non-protein coding LINC00982:13". The record is from RNAcentral. Lineage: Eukaryota; Metazoa; Chordata; Mammalia; Primates; Hominidae.